This is a long non-coding RNA of Syngnathus acus (greater pipefish), 974 nucleotides long. RefSeq lists it as uncharacterized. Lineage: Eukaryota; Metazoa; Chordata; Actinopteri; Syngnathiformes; Syngnathidae. The transcript is spliced from 4 exons. The record is from RefSeq and is a predicted model, not a curated record.
UUUGUUCUCUUUACUGUUUGCUGUGUGACACUGCUUGUUUGCUCACGUCUGACCUUUUACCGCCAGGAGCUAAAGCCCAAAAAAAAAAAAAAACGGUCUGUUUCGCGUAAUAGAGAUAUGGGCUCGGCUUGAAAUUAAACAUGCGAUAAGCAAAACAUUGGAGAGGAGAGGAGGAAAAAGGCAUUCUGGGACUUGGUUAGUUCUGCAGACACUUUGAUGAUUUUGUGAUUGCGAGGAACACACUAAGGGAGUCGAGGAGAAAAAAGGAAAUCAGUCUGUCAGCAAAAAAAAAAAAAAGCUGACACACCCUCAAGUUGCUUUGCAAAAACAUCCACUUACUCUUGAGCUCAAGUUGGGCCGGUCUUUACGAGCAUUUACUGUUUACUUCUCCAAGUGCACGACACCUCUUUUAUCUUUCCUGUUCGACGGUGCAACCCUACAAUCAUUUUUUUUUUCAUCUCAUGGAACAGAGCAAACUGGAAGCAUUUGUUGGUAUCACCUGCUCAUUGGUCCUCUUCCAGAAGACAGCCAGGGUGAAGACAGCCGUGACGGGCGGCGCCAGGUAGCUGGUCACCGACUGAAUAUAAACGUACAGUUGGCCGCUGUUGGCAGACUGCAAAAUGGGAAUCCACACCACGCUAACCACCACCAAGAUCACUGUCACGAUCCUGAGUGGAGAAAUUACAAUUUAGUGAGACCAGCAACUCUCUCUCUGAGGCUCGCGGCCGGUGCUUCUUCCAGAUGUCCAUGGUGAACAACGUGGAGCUGCUGUUGAAGAUGGACGUCAGCGAUGACAUCAGAGCGGCCAUAAUCACCGAUAUCAUAAGACCACCUCAAUGACAAGUUUGGGGAAGGCGAUGUUGGAGCAUCCCACUUCGGCGCCACACACUCGUACACACUCCUCGGGGUCGACGCAUCCCACUGUGUCUGAAACAUGAGGAGGUCGACCAUCCAGAGGUCAUUCACACACAAAG